RNAcentral lists this long non-coding RNA (1009 nucleotides) under Oryctolagus cuniculus (rabbit). RNAcentral's name for it is "lncRNA (ENSOCUG00000033104.1)". Lineage: Eukaryota; Metazoa; Chordata; Mammalia; Lagomorpha; Leporidae. The record is from RNAcentral.
AACUGUUCACGGGUGCUCCCAGCCAUUUGUGGAAAUAUCGCUGUGAGUGUUACUGACCGGCCAGAUGGGAAUCAAUGUAGUGGUCAUACAGUAUUAGGGUACCCUGUGUGUCUGCACGUGGACUACCCACAGAUCUGGUCUGGUCUGUGUCAGUGUACCUCAUGAGAUGAAGUCAUUCUAGAGAAAUAGUGCAAAAACAAACAUCUACAAAUAACAGCUGGAACACCUGAGCAUUCCCAGAGGUCCUUGGGAGCACCCGUGGACACUUGGGCUGAGAAUACAGGAAGAUUUCCUAAGUAUCCAGGUCUUCACACCACGGAUACCUCUGAGAAGGGCCCACAACUGUGACCAGUGGUGUUUAGGAAAUAACAGUAAGAACAGCAUUGACAAAAUACACCCAACCCUCAGGGGUUUGUUCUUAUUUCAAACAAACUGAACCUGCAAGGACCUCGUGAUGCAGCCCUCCAGGAAAUGGAAAAUGCUGCCUACAACUUCUGAACUGCCAGGGGAUGCUUAGUGCCGAGGCGUCUGCACGAGGAUGCAAGGCAGGGGCUUGCACCUGCUCGGUCACAGGAUACAGCACCUAUUAUAUGACACAUUGGACUCACCGUUAAAAAUCGCACUGGACUCAUCUGGGAUUUAACAGGAGUACAGACAUAAGUUAGCCAGAAAACAGUCUCUCUUCUCUUUCCCUUAGUAGGGGCAUGCUCUGAAGUCCCUACUGAUGAAAGGAAAUGAAUGCUCCAAUGCAUCUCAAAUCAAAACACGAAUCUUAUAACCAAGUAGAAACGCAACAAUGAAAACUGGCGUGCGAGAGGAGAAGGAUGGGACGAAUGUUAGAACUAUUCGUCCCUUGCCGAUUUUUUAACCUGACUCGUUAAAGCCUUGGGUUUCUCAAUCUGAGAUCAUGAUUUCAUUUUUCCCAAUUCCUGAUGCAAAUUGUAAUGUCCUUUAAAUAGGUAUUUUAUUUAAGGUUCAACCACAGCAAUAAAUUUAUCGGUUGCUAACA